RNAcentral lists this long non-coding RNA (326 nucleotides) under Glycine max (soybean). RNAcentral describes it as "long non-coding RNA (GMAX_LNC001027)". Lineage: Eukaryota; Viridiplantae; Streptophyta; Magnoliopsida; Fabales; Fabaceae. The record is from RNAcentral.
GCGGGUCCUUGUUUAUAGGGGUUGUUACGGUGGAGUAAUAACCCUUGUAGAUAAUUACUAGCUUGUAGAUAAUAGCUAGUAGAUAAUUAUGGCUUACCCAUAAUGUGUAGCUUAUAUAAUAUAAUACCUGCCAUGAGAUAAGGAGAUUACAACAUAUUCAAAUAAUGAAGUGGUUAAAGAUAACCUGUCAAUUUGGGAGCCCAGCUGCUGAGGGCGAGACGUCCAUGCUCCUGUGUUAGGGCUGAAAUGGAGGGUUGGCAUGUGUAUUGGAGUGCCACGUAGUUUUCCACGUUUAUUUUGUGGACCCUAGACAGUACAUAAGCCCC